AACGCUAGCUACAGGCUUAACACAUGCAAGUCGAGGGGCAGCAUGAAGUUUGCUUGCAAACUUUGAUGGCGACCGGCGCACGGGUGAGUAACACGUAUCCAACCUGCCUUCCACUCGGGAAUAGCCUUUCAAAGAAAGAUUAAUGUCCGAUGGUACUGGUUUCUCGCAUGAGAGACUUUUUAAAGAAUUUCGGUGGAAGAUGGGGAUGCGUUCCAUUAGGCAGUUGGCGGGGUAACGGCCCACCAAACCGACGAUGGAUAGGGGUUCUGAGAGGAAGGUCCCCCACAUUGGAACUGAGACACGGUCCAAACUCCUACGGGAGGCAGCAGUGAGGAAUAUUGGUCAAUGGACGAGAGUCUGAACCAGCCAAGUAGCGUGAAGGAUGACUGCCCUAUGGGUUGUAAACUUCUUUUAUACGGGAAUAAAGUGAAGCACGUGUGCUUUUUUGUAUGUACCGUAUGAAUAAGGAUCGGCUAACUCCGUGCCAGCAGCCGCGGUAAUACGGAGGAUCCGAGCGUUAUCCGGAUUUAUUGGGUUUAAAGGGAGCGUAGGCGGAAGUUUAAGUCAGUUGUGAAAGUUUGCGGCUCAACCGUAAAAUUGCAGUUGAUACUGGAUUUCUUGAGUGCGGUAUAGGUAGGCGGAAUUCGUGGUGUAGCGGUGAAAUGCUUAGAUAUCACGAAGAACUCCGAUUG
RNAcentral lists this ribosomal RNA (692 nucleotides) under uncultured Bacteroidales bacterium. RNAcentral describes it as "bacterial SSU rRNA". It matches the Rfam family "Bacterial small subunit ribosomal RNA", at positions 32 to 715 of the family's 1533-position model. The record is from RNAcentral. Lineage: Bacteria; Pseudomonadati; Bacteroidota; Bacteroidia; Bacteroidales.